UACGUAGGGUGCGAGCGUUGUCCGGAAUUACUGGGCGUAAAGAGCUCGUAGGUGGUUUGUCGCGUUGUUCGUGAAAACUCACAGCUUAACUGUGGGCGUGCGGGCGAUACGGGCAGACUGGAGUACUGCAGGGGAGACUGGAAUUCCUGGUGUAGCGGUGGAAUGCGCAGAUAUCUGGAGGAACACCGGUGGCGAAGGCGGCAUCCUGGACCGACACUGACGCUGAGGAGCGAAAGCCAGGGGAGCAAACGGG
This 253-nucleotide ribosomal RNA is filed under the name uncultured bacterium. RNAcentral describes it as "partial 16S ribosomal RNA". It matches the Rfam family "Bacterial small subunit ribosomal RNA", at positions 524 to 776 of the family's 1533-position model. The record is from RNAcentral.